RNAcentral lists this unclassified non-coding RNA (442 nucleotides) under Hevea brasiliensis (rubber tree). The record is from RNAcentral. Lineage: Eukaryota; Viridiplantae; Streptophyta; Magnoliopsida; Malpighiales; Euphorbiaceae.
GUAUGAGAAUACAGGACUGCAUAACGUUGUGCAUCUCUCGCAAAAAAGUGCUCCAUAUGAUCUCCUGUCUAAGAUGCUUGAAUAUGAUCCUCGAAAGCGGAUAACUGCUGCACAAGCUCUAGAGCAUGAGUAUUUUCGGAUAGAACCUCUACCAGGGCGCAAUGCUUUGGUGCCCUCUCAACCUGGAGAAAAGGCAAUUAACUAUCCCACCCGUCCAGUAGACACAAAUACAGACUUUGAAGGAACAACUAGUCUUCAGCCUCCACAACCAGUAUCUUCUGGAAAUGCAGUUUCUGGAGGCAUGCCAGGUGCUCAUGGAGUGGCUAACAGAUCUGCUCCUCGACCGAUGCCAAUGGGCAUGCAGAGAAUGCAACCUUCAGCCAUGGCUGCUUACAAUAUUGCAUCUCAGGCUGGGAUGGGAGGUGGAAUGAAUCCAGCUGGC